This 238-nucleotide ribosomal RNA is filed under the name uncultured bacterium. Its description in RNAcentral is "partial 16S ribosomal RNA". It matches the Rfam family "Bacterial small subunit ribosomal RNA", at positions 29 to 253 of the family's 1533-position model. The record is from RNAcentral.
AACGAACGCUGGCGGCGGGGUUUAGGCAUGCAAGUCGAGCGAGAAAGUCUUCGGACGAGUACAGCGGCGUAAGGGUGAGUAAUAGGUAGUUCACGUGCCCUCGUGACGCGAAUAAUUUCCCGAAAGGGAUUGUAAUGCGCGAUGAGACCACAGUUCCCACGGGAACAGAGGUCAAAGGUCGGGGAUCCUUCGGGACCCGGCGCAUGAGGAGCGGACGACCUCCGAUUAGCUAGAUGGC